Molecule: ribosomal RNA, 849 nt
Filed under: uncultured Methanococcoides sp.
Lineage: Archaea; Methanobacteriati; Methanobacteriota; Methanomicrobia; Methanosarcinales; Methanosarcinaceae
Description: bacterial SSU rRNA
Rfam family: Archaeal small subunit ribosomal RNA
Source: RNAcentral
UUUAUUGGGUCUAAAGGGUCCGUAGCCGGUUUGAUCAGUUCUUCGGGAAAUCUGACAGCUCAACUGUUAGGCUUCCGGGGAAUACUGUCAGACUUGGGACCGGGAGAGGUAAGAGGUACUACAGGGGUAGGAGUGAAAUCUUGUAAUCCCUGUGGGACCACCAGUGGCGAAGGCGUCUUACCAGAACGGGUCCGACGGUGAGGGACGAAAGCUGGGGGCACGAACCGGAUUAGAUACCCGGGUAGUCCCAGCCGUAAACGAUGUUCGCUAGGUGUCAGGGGCGGUGCGACCGCUUCUGGUGCCGUAGGGAAGCCGUGAAGCGAACCACCUGGGAAGUACGGCCGCAAGGCUGAAACUUAAAGGAAUUGGCGGGGGAGCACUACAACGGGUGGAGCCUGCGGUUUAAUUGGACUCAACGCCGGAAAACUCACCGGGGGCGACAGCAAGAUGUAGGUCAAGCUAAAGACUUUACCUGAAUCGCUGAGAGGAGGUGCAUGGCCGUCGUCAGUUCGUACUGUGAAGCAUCCUGUUAAGUCAGGCAACGAGCGAGACCCGUGCCCACUGUUGCCAGCAUGUCCUUCGGGAUGAUGGGUACUCUGUGGGGACCGCUGGUGCUAAACCAGAGGAAGGUGCGGGCUACGGUAGGUCAGUAUGCCCCGAAUCUCCCGGGCUACACGCGGGCUACAAUGGUUGGGACAAUGGGUUCCUACACCGAAAGGUGAUGGCAAUCUCCUAAACCCAACCGUAGUUCGAAUUGAGGACUGUAACUCGUCCUCAUGAAGCUGGGAAUCCGUAGUAUCGCGUUUCAACAUAGCGCGGUGAAUACGUCCCUGCCUCCUUGCACACACC